This 501-nucleotide ribosomal RNA is filed under the name uncultured bacterium. RNAcentral describes it as "partial 16S ribosomal RNA". It matches the Rfam family "Bacterial small subunit ribosomal RNA", at positions 30 to 523 of the family's 1533-position model. The record is from RNAcentral.
AUUGAACGCUGGCGGCAGGCUUAACACAUGCAAGUCGAGCGGGGGAAGGUAGCUUGCUACCGGACCUAGCGGCGGACGGGUGAGUAAUGCUUAGGAAUCUGCCUAUUAGUGGGGGACAACAUCUCGAAAGGGAUGCUAAUACCGCAUACGUCCUACGGGAGAAAGCAGGGGAUCUUCGGACCUUGCGCUAAUAGAUGAGCCUAAGUCGGAUUAGCUAGUUGGUGGGGUAAAGGCCUACCAAGGCGACGAUCUGUAGCGGGUCUGAGAGGAUGAUCCGCCACACUGGGACUGGGACACGGCCCAGAGUACUACGGGAGGCAGCAGUGGGGAAUAUUGGACAAGGGGGGGAACCCUGAUCCAGCCAUGCCGCGUGUGUGAAGAAGGCCUUAUGGUUGUAAAGCACUUUAAGCGAGGAGGAGGCUACUCUAGUUAAUACCUAGGGAUCGUGGACGUUACUCGCAGAAUAAGCACCGGCUAACUCUGUGCCAGCAGCCGCGGUAA